GGUAUAGGUGGCUGAAUAUAGGCGAUAAACUGUAAAUUUAUUUUAUGAGAAUUUUUCUCCCUUACCA
This 67-nucleotide transfer RNA is filed under the name Tristira magellanica. Its description in RNAcentral is "tRNA-Tyr". The record is from RNAcentral. Lineage: Eukaryota; Metazoa; Arthropoda; Insecta; Orthoptera; Tristiridae.